Molecule: ribosomal RNA, 213 nt
Filed under: uncultured bacterium
Lineage: Bacteria
Description: partial 16S ribosomal RNA
Rfam family: Bacterial small subunit ribosomal RNA
Source: RNAcentral
CAGUUCAGACUGCAGGCUGCAACUCGCCUGCACGAAGUCGGAAUUGCUAGUAAUCGUAGGUCAGCAUACUACGGUGAAUACGUUCCCGGGCCUUGUACACACCGCCCGUCAAACCAUGAGAGUUGGCAACACCCGAAGUCGGUAGUCUAACCGCAAGGAGGACGCCGCCGAAGGUGGGGUUGAUGGUUAGGGGUUAAGUCGUAACAAGGUAAC